GAGAUAUCAUCAUUUUUCUUCAGCAAAAACGCCAUGGAAGGUCUGAAAGCUGCUGGUUUUUCAUACUUUGACAUAUGUGAGUUCAAUUCUUUCCCUUUUCUUUGAGAUUUUUAUGUUUUUGUGACUUUUACAAUUAAGUCCAAGUGUUUAAUUCAUUAGUUUUUUAUUUUAUGGACAAAAUUAAAAGUUAUCAUUGACAAGUUUUGGCUGUUUAUGAUGAAUUAAAAUGAAUUUGAAGCUUUGAUUUUAUUGUUUGAUGAUUUUAUCAAGUAAUUUCAAUAGAAAUUGAUUUUAGGACCUAAUUAUGAGAAAGUUGUGAAUUAAGGUUUAGUGUUAAAAUUAUAAUUUUCAAAGGUUGUGUAAUAGUUUAGAAUGAUGGAAUAAAAUGUUAAUUGAGAAAAAUUAGCUUAUUAGAUGAGCUAAUUGAGCAAGGACUGAAUUGUAUGACCUGUGAAAUUUAGAGGAAAAAUGGUAAUAAACAUCUUGAACUAAAACAGUUUUGGACAGCAGCAGUAGGAUAAUUUUGAAAAAUCACCAUAAAUUGUAAAAAUCGAAUUAGAGGAUGAAUAAUAUAUGAAAUUAAAGCUUAUUGAGUCUAGUUUCUCAUAGAAGAAACGGUGUAAGCAAUUGAAUUGUAAAUUAUGUGCUAUAAUGAGUUUUGUGAGACAAGGUUAGAAUGAAUUCGGAUUCUCCUGUUUUAAAUUUAGAAAAUCACCAAAAAUUAGAGAAAAUUAAUUAGAGGCUCAAAUUUAUAUGCUUAGGAUCUUUAAUGAGUCUAUUUUCAAUAGAAAUCAACAGGAACAUUAUCCGAGUUCUGUACUGUGAUAUAAUUAAUUUUUAGUGAAGAGAGAUCAGAACUGUUGGAUAGUGAAACAGGGGAAACUUAAAUGAAUAAACUGUACUAAUUGGCUAAACCAAAAAUUAUGAAAUUUUUAUGGUAAGAAGACAUCUGAGUCUAGUUUCUGGGAAAAUUUAUGGAUCUUAAUUUGGAAUUCUGUAGCUCAAGAUAAAAAUAAUUUAGUAACUAUAACACAGAUGGACAGCGUGAAUAUUCACAUAAGUAGAUAGUGAAAAUUAUAGAUAAUGUUACCUAUAAGUGUGUUGUUUAUACUAAGGAUGUGGAUGGAGAGGAGGAGGAGGAAAAUAUACAUUUAUAUAUGAAUGACUUGUGUAUAAAUUGAUCACGUGCCCGAUUAUAAUCGAUAAAUGUUGAAUUAGAAAGGAUAUAAUGUUUUAUUUGGAAUAUUUAAUAUGAAAUUAUGAUUAUCGUUAUAAUACAAAAAUCGUACUAGUGAGUUUGUAUAACUAAAUUUUAGUGACCGUUUGUUAAUUUUAUGAAUUUCAUGAUGUGUUAUUUCAUAUGAAUUGAUGAUAAAAUCGUGAAUAAUGUAAGAGCGUGAAAAUUGAAUAAACGAUCAAAUUGAGUAUUUUCAGUGACAAGAUGAAUUGAUGGAAAAGACAAUGGUUGAUCCAUGGCAAAGUGCGAAAUGUAGGUAUGGUAUUAUCCAUACCGAGUUGUGAAAUGUAGGUAUGGUAUCAUCCAUACCGAGUUGAGAAAUAUAGGUAUGGUAUUAUCCAUACUGAGUUAAGAAAUGUAGGCAUGGCAUUUCCCAUACCGAGUUGUGAAACGUAGGUAUGGUAUUUUCCAUACCGAGUAUAAAAUGUAGAUAUGGUAUUUCAAUGAGGAAAACCAUACCGAGUGGUGAAUCGUGGCACUGAGCAAAUGACAGACUCAAAUUCGUAAGACGUUCUCUAAUUUGACAAAGAUUGAUAAGUGACAUAUGAAAUUAGUAUUUGUAGACUUAUGGUUAUUAUUGAUAUUGAGCUGAAUUAAGUGUACCCAUUGAUAUUUAAAUGAUUCAAGGGGUAAGGUUCUGAUAUGAGAUAAUAUGAGUAUGAAAUGAAUUAUCA
Molecule: long non-coding RNA, 1911 nt
Filed under: Gossypium barbadense (sea-island cotton)
Lineage: Eukaryota; Viridiplantae; Streptophyta; Magnoliopsida; Malvales; Malvaceae
Description: long non-coding RNA (GBAR_LNC012039)
Source: RNAcentral